UCAGACGGACCACCUGAUGAGAAGGACGGCCAGGCAUCUGAAAAUAGAGAGUAAUGCAAAAGGCAUUAGAGCUCUGGAGACAAAAUUGGGCAGCAUAACUGCUGUAAAUGCUCAAAAACAAUUUUGAGACAACCCACAAAAGAUAGGAUAGCAUAACCACUCAACUAUCAACUUGAAUUUCAUGGUCAUCAAAACUUACUUCCUUUUCCUUGGAACAAAACAAAAUCAGAGUAACUGUCUACUCGUUUUUCCUACAAUCUACCGAUUAGUAAUACACGAUCCUCAGAGAAAGAUAAGUAACCUAGUUCUUAAUCCCCGCAGAAAAGACGAGGAUGACCAUAAUAUAAUGACUUGAGAAGAGAAGAAAGAAUCUUAUGUUCCUUUCCACAAACAAUUCCCUUAUAUAUAACUAAAGCAAUUCUAGACUCAACGUCGACCAGUUUGGCUUGGUAAUCCUACAGUCAGUCAGGCUCUGAUACCAACGCUGUCGGGGCCCCGAUCCUAAGCCAUAGGAAUCCAGCAUGUAACACAUUGCACCCCUUUGCGGGCUCACGCACGGUUAUCCCCACGGCUGCCACCUUACCUUACCCAGGCCCGUUUGCACCUUUUGACUCACGUAUGCAAUGGUGUCGCUAGCAUUCCAAUGUCAAAAAACCCGGGUCGAUAUAUCUAGUCAUAAACUCAAGUGGCUCGACUGUACACACACAGGCAUACAUAACCCAGCAAAGCAGGUGUCGGUCAACAGCGAGUGUAGACGAGUCGUAGCAAGCUACAAGGACUCCAUUAAACCGCGUGACAUUUCCCCGAAGGGACAGACACAGCAGCUAAAAAGGAUACAUGCCGGUCAACCAAUGUGUCCGGAGCAGUAGCGAACUACCAAGGCUCGGUGGAAUCACAAAGGGACAUUUCUUUGUAUACAGAGCUACUAAGGCAUACGACUAGGUGUCGAAUCCCAUACAUAUCACAGUGCAUCACACGUACGCAUGACAUACUAGAUAUGCAUAGAUACAACAAGGGCAUCACAACAUAACCAUACAACAUCACGACAUUUAUUUAGAAGACUCGGAAGAGUCUUGGAUAAUAUGUUCAUACAAGCAGGGGUCACACGACCCGACACUCAAAGUCAUACAAACCAACGGAAGCAUAAAAGUUGUAUGAGUAUAGACAGUUGAAAGGAUAUGGCAUAAAGCCUGACUAUCUACAGAUCCCUUCUUAAAGGGGCCAGGUCGUAGCUGGGACACCAGCUACUCGUCAUCAUCGAUGUCUAGAAAGAACCCACCUGUUGGCUCGUGGGUAUUCUCUGCAACAAUUAUUAAGCAAACAUGAGUACAAGAGUACUCAGCAAGACUUUAGAACAGAUCUAUAUACUCAUGCUCAGGUACCAAUAAAAGGGGGUUGUAGUGUUUCAUGCAGCAAGCCAGCUUUGACUCUUGCCUAGGCUAAACUACAAUUUUAAAUAGUUUUAACAACUUUGAUUUCUCGCACACGAGUCCACUAACUCCACAACAAUACACCAUCAUGGAAUCAUUCCCGUCUUCCUACGGAAAUGCCAUCCAUGACACUCACACUUAUCUUGAUACUUUUAUGAGUAGCCAUUAAAGUUGUCUAUGAACAACAUAUGUCUCCAAGUAGUCCAUAUCCGCGAACGCGGCUAUUCGAAUAGAUCAUAACCCUGCAGGGGUGUACUUCUUCACACACGCUCUCGCCACUUAUCGCUAUGUGCACGUCAUGCACCUCGGAAACCUUCAAGCGGAAGCCCAGCGAGGGAGUCGGCCAUGACCGUUAACUAUGCUAAUACCUAGUCCAGGUUUAUCGCCUAUUUGAGAGUAACCCGCACGGAAGUCCGGCCGAGGUUUCUGCCACGGCCCCAAACGAUGUGCGCAGGGUUCCCAAGCCCACCAUCCGGGUGCCACUUGGUACACCGUGCCACUGCCUACCGCAUCAUAGCCCACCUCUAAGGUCAGCACUGUGCACGGCCUCCAGCAUGACUAUAAACACCGGAAACUACUUGCAACUCCUGGACCGAGUACUAGGCGAUUUAUAAGUCGAGAGGGUCAAUUAAGUAUCCCAGCGUGUGGUAGUAUGUAGUCUUGGAUUACAUACACGGAACUCAGUUCCUAAGGACGGUUCCAAUGAAACAAUCCGCCAUGUACUCCUACAUAGCCUUUCAUCGGUACCUUUACCAAAUCAGGUUCCACACUUAUUCUUUGUCACUAGAACACAUUCAUCCAUUCCCGUUCAUCACCCGGAUGAAACAUACCUGAACUCUAGGCAUAGCAUGCAUAACAGGAAUAACACAUCACAACUCAAGCAUCUACCAGGUAUGCUAGGUUGCAUGGUUUGGCUAUUUACUGUGACAACGAUAGGUCAUGCAAAGGAAUAGGUUCAACUACCGAAGUAAAGCAUUUGAAAUAGUGUGUCCUAAUGCGAUAAGUGGGAGCAGGAGCAAGAACAUGGGAUGAUAUCGGGAUGAUCAAAAGGGUGCAUGCCUUGUUGCUCAGCAGAGGGGUAAUAUCCGUUAGUCGAAUAUUCGGAUGUAUCCGGAGGGGCAGAGCCUACCGAAAUAACAACAUUCAAUUAAUAGCAAUCGUAUGCAACAAUCAUGAUGCAUGAUCAUGGCAUGAAAUGAAGAGUGAUAUGAUACAGUGUGGUUGGUAAAACCUUAGUUUGCAUCUGGUUUGAAAUCCAAAUUCAAAUAUCAUUUGAAAUAGGAUAUUAUCAAAUUACUUUAAUUGAUUUGACCUGAUGUUGUUUCAUAACUUUGUUUUCCACGCAUGAAUGUAGCACCAUUGUGUUCAUUGAUUUUUUUUAUCAAUUUGUAUAUAUUAUUUGUCAGAUUUGGAGUUGUGAUCAAUUUUCUAUGAAUUUCCAAAUUUUUGCAAUUAUUCUGGAAUUAUAUUAAUCAGAAUUAGAAUUAUUGCAUCGACAUGACAUCAGCAGGUCAGCUGGCCGUUUGAAAGUCAAACCUGAGUAAUGGGACCCAUUGGUUAGUGACUCUGGACAGAAAUUAGUUAAGUUUAAAUUUAAUUAGAUAUGUAACAGGGCUAGACCCACAUGUCACUGUAUGUUUAACUUAUAAUAUAAACAUUAUUUUUAUUUUAACUAAACUUAAUUAGCCAAGGGGUUGGCCCCACUUGCCAGUGACUUAGGGGAGUCAACCCCACCGGUGAUGGGGUCAAACCCACCAGCGGCGAGGCUCCAGCGACUCAGACUGGGCGUUCGGUUCCACCGAACCGAUCGGUGCGGUUCUUCGGUUUCUAUGGAGUUUCGGUUUUAACAAUUCGCUGACCGAUCACUCAACGAGUAGCUGACAAACCGCGGCUUCGGUGCACCGAUAAAUCGGUUCGGUCAUCGGUUCACACCGAACAACACCGAUAUACUAGUAGAAAAAGCAAGCAGCAACAAGAAUCUCUGCUACCGUACUUACACUACACAGUACCUUUAGGCUGUAGCACUGACUCCUAAAGUUAGGCUCCACGCCAGCUCACAUGCCCCUUUGUGCACAAAAUUUUAAAAUAAUAAAAAUUUAGAUAUGACUAGGGUGAGGGAUCCCUUUUGGCACAUCUCUGAGGAUUCACUAAUUAACCAUAAGCAGUAAUAACAAAUAAGUGAAAAAACUAAUAACAUGCUGCGAUUUAACCAGCAGAUCAGACAUAAGCAUACCAUAUCUAACUCAAAAUAUAACAUCCAAAAUAAUAGUUUAACACACGAACUAAACUCGCGCCCUCCAAUUGCAACUCAGACGCACUACUCUGACCUUGAAGCCAUCUGCUUACGGGUGUCCUUGUCAUUAUCCUCCUUCCCUGCUUUCGCUGCUUGCACCGUCUCAUCAGCGUGAUCGCUGCCAGCGGCCUUCUCGACAUCCAUAUGUACUAUAGCAGAUGCCAUUAGAGUUGAAGUAGGCACAACAGUGUUUGUCCUAAUGAUCUCUUAACCUCAGAUGACAUCUACAGCCAAACCAAGAUUCAUUGUCAACAAGUAUUCCACAUAAACAAAUCAAAGCACAUGGAAAUUGGAAGGAAUAGUAGUACAAUACUACUUCAACUCAAGAAUUUGAUUAUACACAUGAACAUAGUCCAAAUAUCUGGUGAGAAGAUUAUACACGCGAACAUAGUACAAAAAUUUAGGAAUAAUUUGUACUCCCUCCGUUCCAAAAUAAAUGUCGCAAAAGUUGUACUAAGUACAAAUUUUAUACUAGAUCAGCGACACUUAUUUCGGGCCGGAGGGAGUAGUACACAAGAAUACUUUAGGCUAAGAAUACAGUACUACAAAUCAACACAAGAAUCUGUGUAAUCCUCAACAGAAGAUUACUAUGUAUAAUCUUCUCAGCAGAUGGAUAGCAUUCUCAGCAAAUUCUCAGCAGAUGGAUAAUCUUCUCAGCAGAUGGAUAAUAUUCUCAGCGGAUGGCUAAUUUCUCAGCAGGAUCAACAAUUUCUUUGAAUUCCAUCGCGUUUCAUCUUUUAAGAUGGGGAAAAAUGAAGACAAGGGUCUAAACAGAGGACUGACCUUGCAGCCUUGCAGAAUCAUCCAAUGGGAGUAGAUACGUCGUCCGCAAGAGGGUGAUGGCAUGGUGUAAUCAAUGUUUCCGACGACGCUGCUAUGGAUCCGUCUCCACUCUCCAUCGAGCAGGCUAGGGUUCAGAGCUCCUCAUCCUCGCCGUCCCAGCGGGCGUUGCAGCAUAUAAGGAUGGGGCUGACCGGUUGAGCAUCGGGAACGGCAGGAAGGGACGGGAGGUGAAGCAUCGACCAUUAAAAUCCAUGCGGGAAGCGAGGAGGCGACCGGCGGCGGCUCGCUACCUAGGUACUCAUGAAUGCGGGUGCGGUCGUACGGUUGCGGGGGGUCGGGGGAUUAGUGAUCAGGCCAGAGUAGGUUAGUGCUCACAAGAAUAUGGGUCGGGCCUCUCUUUUUACUCGGUGUUUCGGUCAGUUCGGUUGACCGAGGGCUAAACCCG
RNAcentral lists this long non-coding RNA (4951 nucleotides) under Hordeum vulgare. RNAcentral describes it as "long non-coding RNA (HVUL_LNC019406)". Lineage: Eukaryota; Viridiplantae; Streptophyta; Magnoliopsida; Poales; Poaceae. The record is from RNAcentral.